GAGGGGGAGACAGCCCUGACCGUCGUCUAAGGUCCCCAAGCGCGUGCUAAGUGGGAAAGGAUGUGGAGUCGCAUAGACAGCCAGGAGGUUGGCUCAGAAGCAGCCAUCCUUGAAAGAGUGCGUAACAGCUCACUGGUCUAGUGGUUCCGCGCCGACAAUGUAGCGGGGCUCAAGCACGCCACCGAAGACGCGGCAACGACCAUAUUGGUUGUUGGGUAGGAGAGCGUCCCAUUCUGGGUUGAAGCCGCGGAGUGAUCCUGUGGUGGACCGUAUGGGAGUGAGAAUGCAGACAUGAGUAGCGAGAGCAAGGUGAGGAUCCUUGCCGCUGGAUGACCAAGGGUUCCAGGGCCACGUUCGUCGUCCCUGGGUGAGUCGGGUCCUAAGGCGAGGCCGACAGGCGUAGUCGAAUGGAUGAACGGGUUGAUAUUCCCGUACCGGCCCUUUGACCGACCAAACGGCCCCCUGGCCGAACACACAUUUCCGUGUUGGUUCCCAUGCCCUUCGGGGUGUGGGGCGAUGCAUGGGUCUGUGUGGGGCGCCUUGGGGUCGAGCGCGUGGAGUGACGCGGACGGGUAGCCGGCCGGGGAGGUGGUUUUCCCUGGUCAAGCGUGUGGCCCCGCCCCCAGGCAAAUCCGGGGGCAUCAUGGGGUGAGGCGUGACGAUGGGGGCCCUUGUGGCCCGAUAUCCGGUGAUCCCGUCGGCCGAGAAAAGCUUCGGCGUGAGGUCUUGGGCCGCUCGUACCCCAAACCGACACAGGUGGUCAGGUAGAGUAUACCAAAGCGAGCGAGCGAAUCCUGGUCAAGGAACUCGGCAAACCGCUCCCGUGCCUUCGGCAUAAGGGAGACCCCCCGCGGUGACGGGCCCGUGCGGCCCUCGAGCGGUGGGGGGUGGCACAAGCCAGGGGGUAGCGACUGUUUACCAAAAACACAGGUGCAUGCCAAGACGCAAGUCGCCGUAUAUGCACUGACGCCUGCCCGGUGCCGGAAGGUUAAGAGGAUCCAUCAGCGCGGCUUGCCGCGCGAAGUGGUGAAUUCAAGCCCCGGUAAACGGCGGUGGUAACUAUAACCAUCCUAAGGUAGCGAAAUUCCUUGUCGGGUAAGUUCCGACCUGCACGAAUGGCGUAACGACUUCCCCGCUGUCUCGACCAGGAGCUCGGCGAAAUUGCAGUACGAGUAAAGAUGCUCGUUAAGCGCAGAAGGACGAAAAGACCCCGGGACCUUUACUAUACCUUGGUAUUGGCAUCAGGUGCGGAUUGUGUAGCAUAGGCGGGAGACUGUGAAGCACGCACGCCAGUGUGUGUGGAGUCGGCCGGUGAAAUACCGCUCUGUCCCCAUCUGAUGCCUAACCCGGACAAGUGAGCCUUGUCGGGGACAGUGCCUGGCGGGUAGUUUAACUGGGGCGGUUGCCUCCCAAAGAGUAACGGAGGCGCUCAAAGGUCCGCUCGGCCCGGUUGGCAAUCGGGUGUCGAGUGUAAUCGCACAAGCGGGCUUGACUGCGAGAUCGACGGAUCGAGCAGGGCCGAAAGUCGGAGAUAGUGAUCCGGUGCCGGCGUACGGACGCGGCAUCGCUCAACGGAU
This 1577-nucleotide ribosomal RNA is filed under the name Bifidobacterium pseudolongum subsp. globosum. RNAcentral describes it as "bacterial LSU rRNA". It matches the Rfam family "Bacterial large subunit ribosomal RNA", at positions 1013 to 2457 of the family's 2925-position model. The record is from RNAcentral. Lineage: Bacteria; Bacillati; Actinomycetota; Actinomycetes; Bifidobacteriales; Bifidobacteriaceae.